This 452-nucleotide ribosomal RNA is filed under the name bacterium Ellin5073. RNAcentral describes it as "bacterial SSU rRNA". It matches the Rfam family "Bacterial small subunit ribosomal RNA", at positions 28 to 492 of the family's 1533-position model. Lineage: Bacteria; Bacillati; Actinomycetota; Actinomycetes; Micrococcales; Micrococcaceae. The record is from RNAcentral.
GAUGAACGCUGGCGGCGUGCUUAACACAUGCAAGUCGAACGAUGAUCUCCAGCUUGCUGGGGGGAUUAGUGGCGAACGGGUGAGUAACACGUGAGUAACCUGCCCUUGACUCUGGGAUAAGCCUGGGAAACUGGGUCUAAUACCGGAUAUGACUCCUCAUCGCAUGGUGGGGGGUGGAAAGCUUUUUGUGGUUUUGGAUGGACUCGCGGCCUAUCAGCUUGUUGGUGAGGUAAUGGCUUACCAAGGCGACGACGGGUAGCCGGCCUGAGAGGGUGACCGGCCACACUGGGACUGAGACACGGCCCAGACUCCUACGGGAGGCAGCAGUGGGGAAUAUUGCACAAUGGGCGAAAGCCUGAUGCAGCGACGCCGCGUGAGGGAUGACGGCCUUCGGGUUGUAAACCUCUUUCAGUAGGGAAGAAGCGUAAGUGACGGUACCUGCAGAAGAAGCG